Long non-coding RNA from Talpa occidentalis (Iberian mole), 1368 nucleotides. RefSeq lists it as uncharacterized. The record is from RefSeq and is a predicted model, not a curated record. The transcript is spliced from 3 exons. NCBI's taxonomy places the organism in Eukaryota, Metazoa, Chordata, Mammalia, Eulipotyphla, Talpidae.
CCAAUCAUCUUAUAGGUAACAGGUAAUGUCAUCUUAUUUUUAAUGAUCACAUGAAGCCCUGGGAUAUGUACUGUUUCACCUAUUUUACAGAUCAUAGAAUGGAGACAUCAAAAGGUAAAGCAACCUGCUCAUGCAGAUAAAGUAAGAGGUAAAACCAAUGUUUUAAGCCCAGCAGUCUGAAAUCAACACAUACUGAUGUUAUGUGAUGGAAAGAUGAAGAUUAGGAGAGAAAAUAUGAUAAUAAAUGCAGCAAGUCAACUAUGAAAGGGAAAAGGAGACUGGAAGUUCUUCAUUUUGAAUACUAGUACAAGAUUAUGAGACUAUUAGGCACAGAUUUAUUUGGUCAUAAUGCUCCCUGACAAAUAUAAGUGUUAGAAUGAAGUGCAACAACUACACCUCAAAAGCUACAGGCUGUAGACUUCUCAAAGUUUCAUGGAAGCUUUUGGCAUACUUCGCUCACUUCAAGUUACUAAGUCUUCAUUCAAGUUACUAAGCAGAAGACACAUAUGGAGUCACAGGUUGUGUGACUGAUACAUGUGGACAAAAGAAGCUGUUUCCUUGGAAACGACUCUGAGAAAGCUCUUGGAACAUCUCCUCCCCAGGAGUUAAUUUGUUUCAGAUGGAGAAAGGCGAUUACUUACGACACAUCAAGAAAGAAAAAGAGAAAACUCAAGCUUAUUCCUACCAUCACUGUUUUUCUCUUUCAAAAUCAUAGCAUAGUUAUCAGCAGCAAGAGUAAAUAUUAAUGACAUUGUGACUAUCUAACAUCUAACUCUGCAAUAGUUUUCACCUGUAUGUAGAAGAAACAGUGGGGUUGGAAAGGGAAAUUUUCUAAAUGAACCAAAGUACUGUGUAUGCUUCUCAAUUUCCUGGAAAUUUUCCAGUGCUCUACUUCCCUUCAUACUGAUCAUUUUAAAGUGCAAAUGUUUGCCACUUGGGUUGAAUUACAGAUAAAAAAAUAAUGAUCUGUCAUUUAGUAAAGAUGGUAUCUCAACUUAGUGAUUUAAACUUUUUCCUCAGUUGUAGUGAAGAAUUAACCUAUUAGGUCUAAUCCUUGACUCCUUGCCUUUGUUAUUCCUAGCAUGGAUUCAUUACAAAGUGUAUUGUGUUCAAAACUACCCAAGAUUCUUCAAUUGUGGACACUUGUAUCAGGUUUUCAGUAAGGUUUUGUUAGUUGACUCAUUAAUUUUUGGCAUGGCUGAGUUAUGGUUUGGAGCUGUAAAAUCGACUUAAGCAAAUCAGUCCAUAUGAGAAAGAAACUUAAGACCUUUUCUAUUGGAUCAUUUUUCUAUUGAACCAAGUUAACCAAAUAACAGAGGUCAUAAUACAAAGUAAGAGGAAUCAACAAAAUUAAGGCACAUUAAAUUA